RNAcentral lists this long non-coding RNA (1095 nucleotides) under Linum usitatissimum (flax). Its description in RNAcentral is "long non-coding RNA (LUSI_LNC002202)". The record is from RNAcentral. Lineage: Eukaryota; Viridiplantae; Streptophyta; Magnoliopsida; Malpighiales; Linaceae.
GAGGAAGAAAACAAUGUAUUUCUCAAGCAGAGCCUGUCUCAUGAGAGGUUUUCUUAUUUACUUUCAAUUCAUUUUCCGUUUUGUUUCUUCUUUGUAUCUUUGUGAAAAGUCAGUCAGGGGGUAGGAACUUGGUUUUCUUUUAUUGGCUAACAAUAUACAGUUUGUAAUUUGUUGUUUUAAUGUUGUUCCGAAAGAUGAGAAACAAGUUCUCUUUAGGGACAUCCGAUAAAAUUGGAACGAUACAGAAAACAAGAAGUCCAUGGAAUUGCAUAUCUAGUCCCUUAUGUCACUUCUGGGUUAAUGAUGCAAAACAAGACCCCCAAGCAACAUCAGAAGAACAAUUCUGCAAACAAAUGUUAUGCAUAUUCAGCCUUGCAUAGGAAAUCAUGUCACACAUUCUGGUUAUAUAAAACACCAACAAAUAUUUUUUUUUAUCAAAUGAAUGCGUAUAUUAUAAUAUUAUCAUAAAAUAAACGUUGAUUAGUUGAUUUUUUUUCAUAAAUAGCUCCCAUCAAGAUAAAUAGUAAAUACAAAUAAGCUAUAAUUGAUUUUUUUUUCAUAAAUAGUCCCAACAAGAUAAAUAACAAACACAAUGAAGCUAAACAUGGACUCAGAUGAUUGAGAUUGAUCUCGACACUAUCUGGAAGAUAUGAAAAAGCACGAUACACCAUAAAGUGGGCAACUUCUUGUGUUGACCGAUAAACAACCUACACCUGGAUCCGAGGACAUGCUCUCAAAAAAGUAAGGAUCUCCAUAAUGUCACGACCGUACAAUAAGUAAUCUGUGGGAAAGCAGGAGAGAACCCACUUUGUAUCAGUUUCUAUGUCCACCUGCCAAACUUCUUGAAGAAAGCACCACAAAUACGCAUUUCAAACCGUCAGGAGCUCUGAAAAAUGUGUAUAUAUAUAAGUUAAGUUUUAGGUGUGCCGCCAUAUCCUACGGUCUGUAGAGAAGAUGGAAUACAGCGGAUGAACACUACUACACUAGUGACUUCACUUCCCCUUGGUAGUGGUGGUAUACUGUAGGUGUUUAGCGACGACCUUAGUUGAUGCGCAAUUCAUCAUUUGCCUUUGCACUUUUUGCCAUGUGCCUCAA